This is an RNA transcript of Polyodon spathula (Mississippi paddlefish), 3794 nucleotides long. It is a transcript of the gene named centromere protein H-like, with no coding region annotated. NCBI's taxonomy places the organism in Eukaryota, Metazoa, Chordata, Actinopteri, Acipenseriformes, Polyodontidae. The record is from RefSeq and is a predicted model, not a curated record. The transcript has 10 exons.
UGGAUGCCUUUCAGAACCUUAAUGAAGCUUGUUCAAAGCUUGGACAUCUAGCUUUAAACAACUGUCAGUUGCCAGUACCUGUCAAUACAAAGAAGGAAGAAUCACUUGCACGUAUUCUCAGGUUAAGAGAACAAGUGGCUGACCAGUGUUUGGAAAUGAAAAUCCGAAUAAAGUCAGAUCAAGGCAAUUAUAGCACCCCUUGAAUCUCUGCAGAAGAAAACCCAAAUAUAACGGAAAUGACAAAAGAUUUAGAAGAUGUGAAACACUCUAUCCAUAACAAAACAUUGGCCCUACACAGAAUGCAGUUUACCCAUGCUGUGUUGGAAAAGAUGAAAGGAAAUGACAAAGAAGCACAGUUAAUGAAGGCAACAGGGAAGCACACACUAAGCCUUUGUUCACGUAUAUUCAGAUUAAAACAGGAGUCCACUGAAAUUGAAGACCAGGUACGAGAAGUUAGGAAAAGGAGACUAGCACUGAAGAAAGAAGCUCUUGGGAAAUUGAUGGAAAUGCGAGCAGCAAAAAAGAGAAAGGAGGAGAAGAUGCAAGCAUUGCAGAGUGAGAUGUUGACGAAAGGUCAGGGAAGCAUGGAGAAGUAUCUCAAGAUGGUUACUCUGGUGCAAAAUGUACUUCAGUGGGCGGCACACAGGCAUAAUACAAUGGCCCUUCCUCUCAGACCUUCAAACUUUGUGCAGCGCAGUGGCACGCCACUGCACGAAGCGGGGGGAAACGUUAGGGCACUGGAAAAGUUCCCUCAUUUCCGCAGAGAAGACUCAAAAGAAAACAUGGAAACGCCAGUGAAGAAAAUAAUAUUUACCCCCCGGCCAGUGACACCCAUGAUAUCACAGACGCAGGCAAACCUUUUGUGAGUAGUGUCAAACCUUGCUAUGUUGAGAAUGACUUCAACUACGGAAUAUGUUAUUGCUGUUGACAUUGUUAGGUGCUGUAUGACAAGUGAAAUCCCAACCGUUCACUUUUAACUUUUAUUGGGGUUCAAUAUCAUGUUAUUCAAGGAUAACAGGCCACGCUUCAGUAAACAAAUGUCAAAGCACACAACGAGUGUAAUUGGAGAAGACGUCCUGAGACGCUCGUAUGCAAAUAUCUCUGACAUUAUCCUAAAUUCAGACAAGGUUACUGCUGCUGAACACUCUACAAGUAGCAAGCACAGACUGUCUGUCUCCAGGGAGCUGUAAACUGGGGUUCUUUCGUAGUGGAGUCUCUCUUAUUUAAUGGGUUGAAAGAAACAAUAGGAAUGGGUCCAUAUCCAGUAGCGUUGAGGUGGGUCCGGGGAGGACGUCCUAGUCUGAGUGUUGAACUCGCUUGUUUUUUUUUGUUUGUUUUUUUUAAUUCAUUUGUACCGAACAGGUUUAAAUUUAUAGGAAAAAGCAAAGACUUCUGCAGGAGAAACACCAGAAGGCAAAAUAGACUCUGGACAAAUUUGCUGUCGGAGGAAGGGAUGACAUCCAGAGGCAGUUUGAAACCCAUCUCCACUCAGCACAUGCCACUUAUAUCCUGUAUUUGAUUCUCUAUGUUGUUGCUGUCGGGACGCUGUUGUACUACCUUGCCGAUAACAUGGUUCAGAAAAGCAGACUCACGCCACGACGGAUAAAAAUUUGGUACAUUUUAUUUCUCUAGACUGCUCAGGUUUCCUUUUUAAGUGUCGUAUCCUGUGAAGAGAUGCCGUCAUGUACAUAGAACACAAUCUCAAUGUUCCUUAAUAUUGCACUGUUAGUUUUUCUGAUUUAAAGUUGUGAUUUAUGUUGUAUAAUCAGGGUUUCUCUUUUUUUUCUCAAAACAAAUUGCAUCUUUUUAGGAUCCCAAGUGAUCACUCAAACUUAACAUAAUAACAUCUAGCCUGAAAUCCAUACAAUAGCUUUGUUCUAAAUCCAAUGUUUUUUUUUUGAGUUUUGUAGGGUUUUGCUUCUGAUUGCUACUGCAUCAUGGACUUCAGUUACUGGUUUAUUCCCAAAACCUGGAGCACACUACUGAGGCCACAGUUUACAGGUUUCUAGAGGUGCUGGUGCGAUCUUCCUAUUAGUUUUGAUAUUUAUUUCUCCAAAAACACCUCAGAGUGUUGUUUUUUAAAUGGCUUGAGCAGUACUGGGAAUGUUGUCAAUGAACACAGAUUAGCUGUUUCCUGCAAUGUGCAUUUUCUAUUUAUGUAGCAUUUGUUUGCACUUAUCUGCCCAAUAAAGCAAAAACGUGUUCUGUGUUUAAUUACUGCAUCAGGAUUAUGAGCACCAGGUUUCCACUGUGUGUCUGUUAAAACAGCCCAUUUUCUAAAACAACAGUUUCCACAGAUAAAGGGUUACUUUUAUUUAGGGUGCUACCUUUCAGGUACUUCAUUGAAACACCAGGCAGCUUACUAAUUGUACAACAGAUUGCAGAGCAACCCUUUGUGGUAAAUUUCAGUUCAUUUUCAAAAAGCAUUAAACGUCAUUCCAAAUUUUGUUUGGAAUGAUUGGGUGUACUUCUAUGUGGUAAAUGUUUCCAUAUUAACAAUUAUAGGAAAGGUGAUGUUAAGACCAGCACCACAGUUGCACUGUAAUAGGUUAUGCCUAAUAUUACUUAAACAUCUGUUUGUCUUCUUUUAGGCUUAUCUAGCAACACUGGUUCAGUCUCCAAACAUAUCACAAUGUUGCCACCUACUGUUGAUUUUGAUUCCUUCCACCUACCACCCAGUGAACACUGCAUCUUUGGAAUGGUGCAAGUGCAAGACGUGUUCUUGUAUUUACAGUAUUACAGCGUGUCAGUGCUAACCGCACUCUGCACACCUGUCCUGAGACUGAUGCUAGCUCUGAAAGAGAUGUAUAUUGUGCCUGAAAAAACCCAAGCAAGUUUAAAAAAGUAACGAAGUAGCUAAACAGAUGUUUACCGUAAGCUGUGAAUGUUAAUAGAGAACAGGCAACUGAUUCGUGGAAAUUAAAUACUUUUCAUACGUUAUCAUAACAUUUCUACUAUUGCAAUACCAGGACAAAUGUUUGGAAUACUGAAAGUGUUUUGAGCAGUCAUGCAAGUGUAUCGGUUGUCGUCUUUUUUUUCAAUUUAGAACUUCUAAACUGUGUAACUAAUAAUUUGAAUAGGUGCAUCAGUUUGUUUUCAUUGUAACCUUUAACCUGCUUUUUUGUGUGUUAUUUGAACACAGUUUUUUAUUCUUUGUGAAGGGAUUUGAGAGAGAUCCAAUGUGGUGUUUAUUUAUUUAUUUAUUUAUUUAAUAGGUACCUAAUGAACAUUUCAAUAGGAUAUUUAUCUUUUUGUAAUUCCUGUAAAACAAGAAUCAGUGUAGCUUACUGCCAUUUCAUUUAAUGAUCAGCACAAAAACAAUGUGUAAAAUCUGAAAUGGAGAUAAGAGGUUUAUGUAUACUCACAUUGUUUUCAUUAGGAGUUGCGUACCGUGCACUAACAGUGCUUAAGUGUAUAUAUGGUUUUCUACCUGGAAAAAGCUGGAUAUAAGAUGAAACUGUUACAAUAAGCUGCUACGUGUCAUUGAAUUGACUUCUUUACUGCAGCUCGAUUAGAGAGGUGCGGCAUUGAGGCAAACCAAAGGUGCUACUAAAUGGGGAAGGGGUGAAGCUGAAUACAUCAAAUGGGUUGAUAUGGAAGCCAGGGGUUUCAGCAAAAUACAGCCUUUUCUCACAAUUGAAUGCAAUGAUGACCAUAAUUUUGCUAUUACUUAACACCUAAUAACAGAAGAGUUGCCUUUUUGUUGCUCUUGACAACCAUACUGACAACUGGUCCACAAAUUACACCACGUAACACAAUUUUUGUUCCUGGGUAGUAAGUGUUAUUUCCUAAUU